UUUUCUCUCAGAUCCGAGCAAAGUAGCAAAUCUAGGGAGGGAGAGAGGUCGCCGUCGGGCAGUGGAUACGGGGGUGCGGCCGUUGUGGCUUGCUUGAAGAGCCGUCGGGCAUUGGAUACAGGGGGACGGGCAUGGCCGUCGUGGCUGAAGAUUAGGAUGGGCUCGAAGGGAGGAGCUCCUGCUCGGGGUAGAGAGCAGAGCGGGAGGGGGUCUACUAGCAGCUGCUGCUGGAGGGGAUUGAAGGGAGGAGGGAGGAGCUCCUGCUCGGGUAGAGAGCAGAGCGGGAGGAGGUCUGCCAGCAGCUGCUGCUGGAGGGGAUUGAAGGGAGGACCUGUUGUUGCAUGUGGAGGAAGAACAGAGAGAGAGAGAGAGACAGGGUUGGAUGCCGGUGUGGGCUGGCUAGUGGAGUUGUUGCAUGCGUGCAAAUAUGGAUAGACAAAGAUUUUGGUAAUGGACGAUCAGAGUUAUUUUGAUCUAUUGCAUAGUGAUGCCGGAUUGAAUGAUUUGCACUGGACUGAAGAACAACAUGUCGAUCUUGAAGGGCAUGUAGAACAAGAAAUUGAUCUCCAAGGGCAUGAAGAACAACAAACUGAUCUCGAAGAGACUGAAGAGCCUACCCCUGUGAAAGCAAGGUCUUCGAAAGCAAAGCCGAAGAAAGCAAGCGCUUCGAAGAGGCAAAAGAAUUUCAGCAAGGCUGAAGACUUAACUUUGGUGGAUGCGUACCUCGAGAUAACUCAAGAUCCAAUCAUAGGAGUAGACCAAUCUCGUGACUGUUAUUGGAAAAGAAUCGAUGCUUACUUCCAUGCCAAUAAAUCUGAAGACCAUGGUCGCACACAAGGUUCUCUUCAGCAUCGUUGGGCUAUUAUUCAAGAACAAGUGAAUAGGUUUUGUGCAUGUUAUAGUCAGGUCCAGAAUAGGAACCAAAGUGGGAUGACACGUGAAAAUAAGCUAUGUCAAGCGAUUGUUCUCUAUGCCAAUGGAGACAAGGCAAAUAAAUCAUUUGGAUUGAUGCAUUGCUUUAAUAAGUUGGAAGACACCUAGAAGUGGAAAUCUCGGCCCCAGAAAAAACAGAAGACAUCCUCCUUGGAUACUCCUAAUUCAUCAUCUGCUAGUUUGUUUGAGGAUGAAGCUACAUCUCCCUCUAAAGUUGUUCCUAAGAAAAGGCCACCUAGAAUCAAGAGGGCUAAAGAUGCAGCAUGGCGGGCUCAAAGUUCUUCCAGUACAGGUAAUAGUAGUGCCAUGGAAUCAUUUGGGGGUAUCUUGGAGACAAGGGAGUCAAAAAGACAAGAGCGAUUUGAGCUCAUGAUUGCAAUGGACAAACAGAGAGAAGAAGAUAGGUUGGUAGAAGAAAGAAAGAAACUUGCAAUACAAGAAAAAAAGAUGGAAUUAGAAGAAGAAAAGAUACGAAUCAUGAGAAUGGCGGAAGAACGCAUGAUGGGGGCUGAAGAAAGCAAAAUAAUGAGCAUGGACCUUAGUGGCAUGGAUGAGCAAGAACAAGAAUUCUACAAAUUAAGGAAGAGCCAGAUCAUCAACCGACAUCGUAACUCGUCGGCUUGAGCUAUGUGUUGUAAUCUGUACUACUUAUUAUCUUCGAACCAUUUGGAUGAAAUGUGUCUUGUAAUAUGUACUACUUAUUAUCUUCGAACCAUUUGGAUGAAAUGUGUCUUGUAAUAUGUACUACUUAUUAUCUUCGAACCAUUUGGAUGAAAUGUGUCUUGUAAUCUGUACUAAUUAUUAUCUUCGAACCAUUUGGAUGAAAUGUGUCUUGUAAUCUGUACUACUUAUUAUCUUCGAACCAUUUGGAUGAAAUGUGUCUUGUAAUCUGUACUACUUAUUAUCUUCGAACCAUUUGGAUGAAA
Molecule: long non-coding RNA, 1859 nt
Organism: Triticum dicoccoides
Lineage: Eukaryota; Viridiplantae; Streptophyta; Magnoliopsida; Poales; Poaceae
Exons: 3
Source: RefSeq, a predicted model, not a curated record